Molecule: transfer RNA, 77 nt
Filed under: Eubacteriales Family XIII. Incertae Sedis bacterium
Lineage: Bacteria; Bacillati; Bacillota; Clostridia; Peptostreptococcales; Anaerovoracaceae
Description: tRNA-Arg
Rfam family: tRNA
About the family: Transfer RNA (tRNA) molecules are approximately 80 nucleotides in length. Their secondary structure includes four short double-helical elements and three loops (D, anti-codon, and T loops). Further hydrogen bonds mediate the characteristic L-shaped molecular structure. tRNAs have two regions of fundamental functional importance: the anti-codon, which is responsible for specific mRNA codon recognition, and the 3' end, to which the tRNAs corresponding amino acid is attached (by aminoacyl-tRNA synthetases). tRNAs cope with the degeneracy of the genetic code in two manners: having more than one tRNA (with a specific anti-codon) for a particular amino acid; and 'wobble' base-pairing, i.e. permitting non-standard base-pairing at the 3rd anti-codon position.
Source: RNAcentral
GGGUGCAUAGCUCAGCUGGAUAGAGCAACGGCCUUCUAAGCCGUAGGUCCGGGGUUCGAAUCCCUGUGCACUCGCCA